AUACGGAGGGAGCGAGCGUUAAUCGGAAUUACUGGGCGUAAAGCGCGCGUAGGUGGCUAUUUAAGUCGGAUGUGAAAGCCCUGGGCUCAACCUGGGAAUUGCAUUCGAAACUGCAUAGCUAGAGUAUGGUAGAGGGAAGUGGAAUUUCCGGUGUAGCGGUGAAAUGCGUAGAUAUCGGAAGGAACACCAGUGGCGAAGGCGACUUCCUGGGCCAAUACUGACGCUGAGGUGCGAAAGCGUGGGGAGCAAACAGGAUUAGAUACCCCAGUAGUCC
RNAcentral lists this ribosomal RNA (274 nucleotides) under uncultured bacterium. RNAcentral describes it as "partial 16S ribosomal RNA". It matches the Rfam family "Bacterial small subunit ribosomal RNA", at positions 523 to 796 of the family's 1533-position model. The record is from RNAcentral.